RNAcentral lists this ribosomal RNA (1060 nucleotides) under Arthrobacter sp. 762G41. Its description in RNAcentral is "bacterial SSU rRNA". It matches the Rfam family "Bacterial small subunit ribosomal RNA", at positions 56 to 1128 of the family's 1533-position model. The record is from RNAcentral. Lineage: Bacteria; Bacillati; Actinomycetota; Actinomycetes; Micrococcales; Micrococcaceae.
UGCAGUCGAACGAUGAUCUCCAGCUUGCUGGGGGGAUUAGUGGCGAACGGGUGAGUAACACGUGAGUAACCUGCCCUUGACUCUGGGAUAAGCCUGGGAAACUGGGUCUAAUACCGGAUAUGACCAUUCCGCGCAUGCGGUGGUGGUGGAAAGCUUUUGCGGUUUUGGAUGGACUCGCGGCCUAUCAGCUUGUUGGUGGGGUAAUGGCCUACCAAGGCGACGACGGGUAGCCGGCCUGAGAGGGUGACCGGCCACACUGGGACUGAGACACGGCCCAGACUCCUACGGGAGGCAGCAGUGGGGAAUAUUGCACAAUGGGCGCAAGCCUGAUGCAGCGACGCCGCGUGAGGGAUGACGGCCUUCGGGUUGUAAACCUCUUUCAGUAGGGAAGAAGCGAAAGUGACGGUACCUGCAGAAGAAGCGCCGGCUAACUACGUGCCAGCAGCCGCGGUAAUACGUAGGGCGCAAGCGUUAUCCGGAAUUAUUGGGCGUAAAGAGCUCGUAGGCGGUUUGUCGCGUCUGCUGUGAAAGACCGGGGCUCAACUCCGGUUCUGCAGUGGGUACGGGCAGACUAGAGUGAUGUAGGGGAGACUGGAAUUCCUGGUGUAGCGGUGAAAUGCGCAGAUAUCAGGAGGAACACCGAUGGCGAAGGCAGGUCUCUGGGCAUUAACUGACGCUGAGGAGCGAAAGCAUGGGGAGCGAACAGGAUUAGAUACCCUGGUAGUCCAUGCCGUAAACGUUGGGCACUAGGUGUGGGGGACAUUCCACGUUUUCCGCGCCGUAGCUAACGCAUUAAGUGCCCCGCCUGGGGAGUACGGCCGCAAGGCUAAAACUCAAAGGAAUUGACGGGGGCCCGCACAAGCGGCGGAGCAUGCGGAUUAAUUCGAUGCAACGCGAAGAACCUUACCAAGGCUUGACAUGAACCGGUAACGCCUGGAAACAGGUGCCCCGCUUGCGGUCGGUUUACAGGUGGUGCAUGGUUGUCGUCAGCUCGUGUCGUGAGAUGUUGGGUUAAGUCCCGCAACGAGCGCAACCCUCGUUCUAUGUUGCCAGCGGUUCG